GAUGAACGCUGGCGGCGUGCCUAGUACAUGCAAGUCGAGCGAACAGACGAGGAGCUUGCUCCUUUGACGUUAGCGGCGGACGGGUGAGUAACACGUGGAUAACCUACCUAUAAGACUGGGAUAACUUCGGGAAACCGGAGCUAAUACCGGAUAACAUUUUGAACCGCAUGGUUCAACAGUGAAAGACGGUCUUGCUGUCACUUAUAGAUGGAUCCGCGCCGCAUUAGCUAGUUGGUAAGGUAACGGCUUACCAAGGCAACGAUGCGUAGCCGACCUGAGAGGGUGAUCGGCCACACUGGAACUGAGACACGGUCCAGACUCCUACGGGAGGCAGCAGUAGGGAAUCUUCCGCAAUGGGCGAAAGCCUGACGGAGCAACGCCGCGUGAGUGAAGAAGGUCUUCGGAUCGUAAAACUCUGUUAUUAGGGAAGAACAAAUGUGUAAGUAACUAUGCACGUCUUGACGGUACCUAAUCAGAAAGCCACGGCUAACUACGUG
This 497-nucleotide ribosomal RNA is filed under the name uncultured bacterium. RNAcentral describes it as "partial 16S ribosomal RNA". It matches the Rfam family "Bacterial small subunit ribosomal RNA", at positions 28 to 507 of the family's 1533-position model. The record is from RNAcentral.